RNAcentral lists this long non-coding RNA (295 nucleotides) under Vigna radiata. RNAcentral's name for it is "long non-coding RNA (VRAD_LNC010366)". Lineage: Eukaryota; Viridiplantae; Streptophyta; Magnoliopsida; Fabales; Fabaceae. The record is from RNAcentral.
GAAUGGUGUUCGAGUGUUGAAUUUCCUUGGUGGGGGAAUAGAUGUUUUGCCUUGUGUGAUAGGAAAAUGGGUCCAAAUCCAGAGGAGGGAUGACUAGAGCAGGCUUGUAGAGGAGGAUAUAGGUGGGCCUGUAGGAGAAGCUACAAGUGGGUAAGGUAAGGUAGCAGAGUGUGACUGAUUCUUUCCAUGAUGGAGUUCAUGGAUUGGUGAUGCUUAUGGUGUUAUUUUGGGAUAGUCAUGAUAGUGGUGUAUCUAUGAUGAUGAUCAUGAUAUUGAAGAUGGUCUUGGUUAUGAU